This 1449-nucleotide ribosomal RNA is filed under the name uncultured organism. RNAcentral describes it as "16S ribosomal RNA". It matches the Rfam family "Bacterial small subunit ribosomal RNA". The record is from RNAcentral.
GACGAACGCUUGCGGCGUGCUUAACACAUGCAAGUCGAACGGAAAGGCCCUGCUUUUGUGGGGUGCUCGAGUGGCGAACGGGUGAGUAACACGUGAGUAACCUGCCCUUGACUUUGGGAUAACUUCAGGAAACUGGGGCUAAUACCGGAUAGGAGCUCCUGCUGCAUGGUGGGGGUUGGAAAGUUUCGGCGGUUGGGGAUGGGCUCGCGGCUUAUCAGCUUGUUGGUGGGGUAGUGGCUUACCAAGGCUUUGACGGGUAGCCGGCCUGAGAGGGUGACCGGCCACAUUGGGACUGAGAUACGGCCCAGACUCCUACGGGAGGCAGCAGUGGGGAAUAUUGCACAAUGGGCGGAAGCCUGAUGCAGCAACGCCGCGUGCGGGAUGACGGCCUUCGGGUUGUAAACCGCUUUCGCCUGUGACGAAGCGUGAGUGACGGUAAUGGGUAAAGAAGCACCGGCUAACUACGUGCCAGCAGCCGCGGUGAUACGUAGGGUGCGAGCGUUGUCCGGAUUUAUUGGGCGUAAAGGGCUCGUAGGUGGUUGAUCGCGUCGGAAGUGUAAUCUUGGGGCUUAACCCUGAGCGUGCUUUCGAUACGGGUUGACUUGAGGAAGGUAGGGGAGAAUGGAAUUCCUGGUGGAGCGGUGGAAUGCGCAGAUAUCAGGAGGAACACCAGUGGCGAAGGCGGUUCUCUGGGCCUUUCCUGACGCUGAGGAGCGAAAGCGUGGGGAGCGAACAGGCUUAGAUACCCUGGUAGUCCACGCUGUAAACGGUGGGUACUAGGUGUGGGGUCCAUUCCACGGGUUCCGUGCCGUAGCUAACGCUUUAAGUACCCCGCCUGGGGAGUACGGCCGCAAGGCUAAAACUCAAAGGAAUUGACGGGGCCCCGCACAAGCGGCGGAGCAUGCGGAUUAAUUCGAUGCAACGCGUAGAACCUUACCUGGGUUUGACAUGGAUCGGGAGUGCUCAGAGAUGGGUGUGCCUCUUUUGGGGUCGGUUCACAGGUGGUGCAUGGCUGUCGUCAGCUCGUGUCGUGAGAUGUUGGGUUAAGUCCCGCAACGAGCGCAACCCUUGUUCACUGUUGCCAGCACGUUAUGGUGGGGACUCAGUGGAGACCGCCGGGGUCAACUCGGAGGAAGGUGGGGAUGACGUCAAGUCAUCAUGCCCCUUAUGUCCAGGGCUUCACGCAUGCUACAAUGGCUGGUACAGAGAGUGGCGAGCCUGUGAGGGUGAGCGAAUCUCGGAAAGCCGGUCUCAGUUCGGAUUGGGGUCUGCAACUCGACCUCAUGAAGUCGGAGUCGCUAGUAAUCGCAGAUCAGCAACGCUGCGGUGAAUACGUCCCCGGGGCUUGUACACACCGCCCGUCAAGUCAUGAAAGUUGGUAACACCCGAAGCCGGUGGCCUAACCGUUGUGGGGGAGCCGUCGAAGGUGGGACUGGUGAUUAGGACUAA